This 301-nucleotide ribosomal RNA is filed under the name uncultured bacterium. RNAcentral's name for it is "partial 16S ribosomal RNA". It matches the Rfam family "Bacterial small subunit ribosomal RNA", at positions 509 to 809 of the family's 1533-position model. The record is from RNAcentral.
CAGUCGCCGCGGGAAUACGAAGGGUGCAAGCGUUAAUCGGAAUUACUGGGCGUAAAGCGUGCGUAGGCGGUGAGUUAAGUCUGCUGUGAAAUCCCCGGGCUCAACCUGGGAAUGGCAAUGGAUACUGGCUCGCUAGAGUGUGUCAGAGGAUGGUGGAAUUCCCGGUGUAGCGGUGAAAUGCGUAGAGAUCGGGAGGAACAUCAGUGGCGAAGGCGGCCAUCUGGGACAACACUGACGCUGAGGCACGAAAGCGUGGGGAGCAAACAGGAUUAGAUACCCCGGUAGUCCCUGUCUCUUAUAA